GUCUUUGGAAGCAGUGGUUUUGGGAGGUUGUUAUCGGUUGUGAAAAAAAAUCUCCUGAAGGUUCUGUUAUCAAUGGAGUUAUGCAGGUUCAAUGAGUUGUUAUAAAUUCUGUUGGAGUGUGGUGGUUUAUUAGAAUUUAGUUAGGUUGUUAGGAACAAUUAUCAGUUGUUAAUUCAGUUAUUCAGUUGAGGGGGUUUAGUUUCAGGGUUAUUAGGGAGAGAGUGAAAAGUGGUUUUGAGUUUUUGUUAUGAUACUGGUGGUGCCCCCUGAACGAAUGAUAACCUGUCUUUUAUAACUAGGGUUAUUAGGGAGAGAGUGAAAAGUGGUUUUGAGUUUUUGUUAUGAUACUGGUGGUGCCCCCUGAACGAAUGAUAACCUGUCUUUUAUAACUCAAAAUUCUGUCUUGAAUACCAUCCAAAUUCAUCCGAAAUUAAUCGUAAAUUCAAUUGUCA
RNAcentral lists this long non-coding RNA (452 nucleotides) under Lathyrus oleraceus (garden pea). Its description in RNAcentral is "Pisum sativum (pea) long non-coding RNA (PSAT_LNC006724)". The record is from RNAcentral. Lineage: Eukaryota; Viridiplantae; Streptophyta; Magnoliopsida; Fabales; Fabaceae.